Molecule: ribosomal RNA, 270 nt
Filed under: Triticum aestivum (bread wheat)
Lineage: Eukaryota; Viridiplantae; Streptophyta; Magnoliopsida; Poales; Poaceae
Description: partial small subunit ribosomal RNA
Source: RNAcentral
AUGCCAAAGUACAUGGGUGGAUUGGGGUUCCGAGAUACACAUUUGUUCAACCUUGCAAUGUUGGCCAAACAAGCAUGGCGCCUAAUUCAUGAUAUUGAAUCCUGAAGUGCCCGAUUACUUAAGUCAGUUUACUAUCCCUCUUGUGAUAUUCUGGAAUCUGAACUAGGAAAUCAUCCAUCACAGAUUUGGCGAGCAAUCUUUGAAGGAAAGGAAGUGCUUAAGCAGGGUUUAAUCAGAAGAAUCAGAGAUGGAAAAUCAACGAGCAUCUAG